GCGCUGGUGCUGGAAUUGGCAGACAGGCAUGGUUGAGGGCCAUGUGGCGAAAGCCGUGAGGGUUCAAGUCCCUCUCAGCGCACUA
Molecule: transfer RNA, 85 nt
Filed under: Chloroflexota bacterium
Lineage: Bacteria; Bacillati; Chloroflexota
Description: Chloroflexi bacterium tRNA-Leu
Rfam family: tRNA
About the family: Transfer RNA (tRNA) molecules are approximately 80 nucleotides in length. Their secondary structure includes four short double-helical elements and three loops (D, anti-codon, and T loops).
Source: RNAcentral